RNAcentral lists this ribosomal RNA (351 nucleotides) under Triticum aestivum (bread wheat). Its description in RNAcentral is "partial small subunit ribosomal RNA". The record is from RNAcentral. Lineage: Eukaryota; Viridiplantae; Streptophyta; Magnoliopsida; Poales; Poaceae.
AUGCUCACCCUCCGGCGAGGACGACGCCACACGGACCGGGAACGGAGCCAGGGCCACCCCAUGUGCCACGACGACCGCCAGCCGCCCGCGACGGCAUUCCAGCAUGCCUCCUCACAGCCUCCGGCCCCCGCCCGCUGCCCAUCACGAGGACGCGCCGAAGUCGCUGCAGCCAGGAACUCGCCAAACUCCGGAGGAGUCCGGGAGACCGGCAUCUCGACCCGCCCGUCCUCAUCCGUCUCCUCGUCAGCCACGUCCGCCAACCGGAACGGGGUGGGGCGGGGAACCCAGGUCGGGCCUGGUGGGGGCGCCGGCGCGACCGCCCGCACCGCACCCUGCUCGAACCCGCGGUGA